AUUGAACGCUGGCGGCAUGCCUUACACAUGCAAGUCGAACGUGAAAGGGGGGCAACCCCCGACGUAGAGUGGCGGACGGGUGAGCAACACAUCGGAACGUACCCAGUAGUGGGGACGAACCUCGAGAAAUCGAGGCUAAUACCGCAUACGACCCACGGGUGAAAGCGGGGACCGCAAGCCUCGCGCUAUUGGAGCGGCCGAUGUCCGAUUAGCUUGUUGGUGGGGUAACGGCCCACCAAGGCGACGAUCGGUAGCUGGUCUGAGAGGAUGAUCAGCCACACUGGGACUGAGACACGGCCCA
This 301-nucleotide ribosomal RNA is filed under the name uncultured bacterium. Its description in RNAcentral is "bacterial SSU rRNA". It matches the Rfam family "Bacterial small subunit ribosomal RNA", at positions 29 to 333 of the family's 1533-position model. The record is from RNAcentral.